RNAcentral lists this non-coding RNA (48 nucleotides) under Trichobilharzia regenti. Lineage: Eukaryota; Metazoa; Platyhelminthes; Trematoda; Strigeidida; Schistosomatidae. The record is from RNAcentral.
AUCCAGUUGACAAGUCCCAAAUGGGACGAAAUGCGCGUUAUCCUGGAU